This 1436-nucleotide ribosomal RNA is filed under the name uncultured bacterium. RNAcentral describes it as "bacterial SSU rRNA". It matches the Rfam family "Bacterial small subunit ribosomal RNA". The record is from RNAcentral.
AGAGUUUGAUCCUGGCUCAGAACGUACGCUGGCGGCACGCCUAACACAUGCAAGUCGAACGAAGUAGCAAUACUUAGUGGCAGACGGGUGAGUAACAUGUAGGUAUCUGCCCUUUGGCCUGGAAUAACACGAGGAAACUUGUGCUAAUACCGGAUAAGUCUUUACAGAGAAAGCUUUAUGCACCAUUGGAUGAGCCUGCACUUGAUUAGUUUGUUGGUGGGGUAAUGGCCUACCAAGACUGUGAUCAAUAGCUGAUUUGAGAGGAUGAUCAGCCACAUUGGGACUGAGACACGGCCCAAACUCCUACGGGAGGCAGCAGUGGGGAAUCUUGCACAAUGGAGGAAACUCUGAUGCAGCGAUGCCGCGUGAGUGAAGAAGGCCUUUGGGUUGUAAAGCUCUUUCGUCGGGGAAGAAAAUGACUGUACCCGAAUAAGAAGGUCCGGCUAACUUCGUGCCAGCAGCCGCGGUAAUACGAAGGGACCUAGCGUAGUUCGGAAUUACUGGGCUUAAAGAGUUCGUAGGUGGUUGAAAAAGUUGGUGGUGAAAUCCCAGAGCUUAACUCUGGAACUGCCAUCAAAACUUUUCAGCUAGAGUAUGAUAGAGGAAAGCAGAAUUUCUAGUGUAGAGGUGAAAUUCGUAGAUAUUAGAAAGAAUACCAAUUGCGAAGGCAGCUUUCUGGAUCAUUACUGACACUGAGGAACGAAAGCAUGGGUAGCGAAGAGGAUUAGAUACCCUCGUAGUCCAUGCCGUAAACGAUGUGUGUUAGACGUUGGAAAUUUAUUUUCAGUGUCGCAGCGAAAGCGAUAAACACACCGCCUGGGGAGUACGACCGCAAGGUUAAAACUCAAAUGAAUUGACGGGGACCCGCACAAGUAGUGGAGCAUGUGGUUUAAUUCGAAGAUACGCGCAGAACCUUACCAACACUUGACAUGUUCGUCGCGACUCUAAGAGAUUAGAGUUUUCGGUUCGGCCGGACGAAACACAGGUGCUGCAUGGCUGUCGUCAGCUCGUGUCGUGAGAUGUUGGGUUAAGUCCCGCAACGAGCGCAACCCUCACUUUUAGUUGCCAUCAUUAAGUUGGGCACUCUGAAAGAACUGCCAGUGAUAAGCUGGAGGAAGGUGGGGAUGACGUCAAGUCCUCAUGGCCCUUACGUGUUGGGCUACACACGUGCUACAAUGGUAUCUACAACAGGAAGCAAGACUGCGAAGUUAAGCAAAUCCCUAAAAGAUACCUCAGUUCGGAUUGCACUCUGCAACUCGAGUGCAUGAAGCUGGAAUUACUAGUAAUCGUGGAUCAGCGUGCCACGGUGAAUGCGUUCCCGGGUCUUGUACACACCGCCCGUCACACCAUGGGAGUUGGUUCUACCUUAAGGCAAGGUUUCAAACCCUUGACCACGGUAUAGUCAGCGACUGGGGUGAAGUCGUAACAAGGUAACC